Molecule: ribosomal RNA, 497 nt
Filed under: uncultured bacterium
Lineage: Bacteria
Description: partial 16S ribosomal RNA
Rfam family: Bacterial small subunit ribosomal RNA
Source: RNAcentral
GAUGAACGCUGGCGGCGUGCCUAAUACAUGCAAGUCGAGCGAACAGACGAGGAACUUGCUCCUCUGACGUUAGCGGCGGACGGGUGAGUAACACGUGGAUAACCUACCUAUAAGACUGGGAUAACUUCGGGAAACCGGAGCUCAUACCGGAUAAUAUAUUGAACCGCAUGGUUCAAUAGUGAAAGACGGUUUUGCUGUCACUUAUAGAUGGAUCCGCGCCGCAUUAGCUAGUUGGUAAGGUAACGGCUUACCAAGGCAACGAUGCGUAGCCGACCUGAGAGGGUGAUCGGCCACACUGGAACUGAGACACGGUCCAGACUCCUACGGGAGGCAGCAGUAGGGAAUCUUCCGCAAUGGGCGAAAGCCUGACGGAGCAACGCCGCGUGAGUGAUGAAGGUCUUCGGAUCGUAAACCUCUGUUAUUAGGGAAGAACAAAUGUUGAAGUAACUACGCACGUCUUGACGGUACCUUAUCAGAAAGCCACGGCUAACUACGUG